This 253-nucleotide ribosomal RNA is filed under the name uncultured bacterium. Its description in RNAcentral is "partial 16S ribosomal RNA". It matches the Rfam family "Bacterial small subunit ribosomal RNA", at positions 524 to 776 of the family's 1533-position model. The record is from RNAcentral.
UACGUAGGGGGCAAGCGUUGUCCGGAUUCAUUGGGCGUAAAGAGCGUGUAGGCGGCCAGGUAGGUCGGUUGUGAAAACUGGAGGCUCAACCUUCAGACGUCGACCGAAACCAUCUGGCUAGAGUCCGGGAGAGGAGAGUGGAAUUCCUAGUGUAGCGGUGAAAUGCGCAGAUAUCAGGAAGAACACCCGUGGCGAAAGCGGCUCUCUGGAACGGUACUGACGCUGAGACGCGAAAGCGUGGGGAGCGAACAGG